UCCAUCGGGAAUGCCGUCAGUGCCCUAUCCCACCGCAUCUCCUUCCCAAAUUUGGGAAAGAUCCUGGGAGCCUCCUCUCCCCCUUGGGGAGCAUCUUAAUGAAGCUCCUGCGGAAGAUGAUCCCAACAGAGCUCCCAUUCCACCUCACCCUCCUCAACGUCUGCUUCUCCAACCUCCAGGAGCUUCCCACCAGGAAGGGUUCCAUUGGCUUCUACCUCAAGGGCAAGGGCCCAGCACCUGCUUCUGGCCAAGGAGGGAGUGGGAAGGAAGCUGCAGAUUCCCAAGGGAAGGGGAGCGCCUCUUGCAGCGGA
Molecule: long non-coding RNA, 311 nt
Organism: Melopsittacus undulatus (budgerigar)
Lineage: Eukaryota; Metazoa; Chordata; Aves; Psittaciformes; Psittaculidae
Exons: 3
Source: RefSeq, a predicted model, not a curated record